This 465-nucleotide ribosomal RNA is filed under the name Vreelandella stevensii. RNAcentral's name for it is "partial 16S ribosomal RNA". It matches the Rfam family "Bacterial small subunit ribosomal RNA", at positions 338 to 795 of the family's 1533-position model. The record is from RNAcentral. Lineage: Bacteria; Pseudomonadati; Pseudomonadota; Gammaproteobacteria; Oceanospirillales; Halomonadaceae.
CCUACGGGGGGCAGCAGUGGGGAAUAUUGGACAAUGGGGGGAACCCUGAUCCAGCCAUGCCGCGUGUGUGAAGAAGGCCCUCGGGUUGUAAAGCACUUUCAGUGAGGAAGAACGCCUGGUGGUUAAUACCCAUCAGGAAAGACAUCACUCACAGAAGAAGCACCGGCUAACUCCGUGCCAGCAGCCGCGGUAAUACGGAGGGUGCGAGCGUUAAUCGGAAUUACUGGGCGUAAAGCGCGCGUAGGUGGCUUGAUAAGCCGGUUGUGAAAGCCCCGGGCUCAACCUGGGAACGGCAUCCGGAACUGUCAAGCUAGAGUGCAGGUGAGGAAGGUAGAAUUCCCGGUGUAGCGGUGAAAUGCGUAGAGAUCGGGAGGAAUACCAGUGGCGAAGGCGGCCUUCUGGACUGACACUGACACUGAGGUGCGAAAGCGUGGGUAGCAAACAGGAUUAGAUACCCGAGUAGUC